AUUGCUGAUUGCAGAUCCUUCUUCACGGGGCAUCUACCUGAGGGAGGCUAGUGCUUUCCAACAAUCUACUGAGUGGACAGUGGAAGUUGAUCCAAAAUUUCAUGAGGAUGCCAACAAAAUUGAAGAAUUGGCUGUGUUUGAGGAGCACAUUGAAUUACAUUCUACAGAUAGCUCAGUUGUGAAAGCCCCUGAUUAUCUACUGCUCACUAAGAAUGGUCGUACCUUCAACAACAUUUGGAUUGACUCUGAGUAUGCACCAUAUGAAACCUCG
Arachis stenosperma is the source of this 271-nucleotide long non-coding RNA. RefSeq lists it as uncharacterized. Lineage: Eukaryota; Viridiplantae; Streptophyta; Magnoliopsida; Fabales; Fabaceae. The record is from RefSeq and is a predicted model, not a curated record. The transcript is spliced from 3 exons.